This 325-nucleotide small nuclear RNA is filed under the name Anolis carolinensis (green anole). RNAcentral's name for it is "7SK RNA". It matches the Rfam family "7SK RNA". From Rfam's summary of the family: 7SK was discovered as an abundant small nuclear RNA in the mid-70s but a possible function has only recently been suggested. Two independent studies have found that 7SK RNA binds the CDK9/cyclin T complex (known as elongation factor P-TEFb). The record is from Rfam by way of RNAcentral. Lineage: Eukaryota; Metazoa; Chordata; Lepidosauria; Squamata; Anolidae.
AGAUGUCAGGGCGAUCUGGCUGCGACAUCUGUCACCCCAUUGAUCGCCAGGGUUGAUUCGGCUAAUCUGGCUGGCUAGGCAGGUGUCCCCUUCCUCCCUCACCGCUCCAUGUGCGUCCCUCCCGAAGCUGCGCGCUCGGUGGAAGAGGACAAUGUCCCAGGUAUAGAAGGAGUGUACCGAGGUCUCCAGUCUUCGGUCCUGGGUAUAUGACCCUGGGUAUAUGGAGGUUCCCCUGCUAGAACUUCCAAACAAGCUCAAAGAUGUGGUUCUCAACCAUUGGUUCUCCAUCUGUUUUGGAUUUUUACUCCCAAAAAUCUCAGCUAGC